AUUACUAAAAUUAUCCAGUAAUCACGAAUGACUGACGAAUGAAAAAUCAUGGAAAAUCAUUGGUCUAAAGGUCUGAUGAGUAUUCCUUCUGCUGCAUCAGUUCAGUCAGGGGGUGGAGAGAUGCAAUCACCUGGGGCCAUUAGUCCCUCCUUCCUCCCGCCCCCAAGUGGAAAAGUUCCAGGUCGCAAGAGGGGUCGCCCACCCCUAAAGAGGCACCCGGAAUAUCAGAGUCGCCUACCCAGAAUCCCUCCCACCCAUUAAAGUGCCUAAGAAGAGAGGGAGGAAGCCUGGCUUUAAGGUCAGUAAAUAUCAGAGUGUUUGUGUGUCUGUUUAAAUACGCACAUGCAUGCGUAGGCCACAAAAAAGAUUAGGCCUUUUCAGCCGUGUCUACCAGAUGCAUAAACGUCAUCAAGUGGUGCAUUUUAGUGCAUAAUGGUGUGUGUGUAACACUUAUGAUGGUUUAGCUAGAGGAACAGAG
This 478-nucleotide long non-coding RNA is filed under the name Carassius auratus (goldfish). RNAcentral describes it as "lncRNA (ENSCARG00000031342.1)". Lineage: Eukaryota; Metazoa; Chordata; Actinopteri; Cypriniformes; Cyprinidae. The record is from RNAcentral.